Molecule: unclassified non-coding RNA, 240 nt
Filed under: soil metagenome
Description: partial contains 5.8S ribosomal RNA, internal transcribed spacer 2, and large subunit ribosomal RNA
Source: RNAcentral
AACGGUCUAUACCUGCGGUACCUGCGGAAGGAUCAUUAUAGAGUGGUAAACCCCCCGUAAAAGGGGGGGACCUCCUGUCCUUUGUAGGCUCUUUUUUAAAAGGGCUUUUUUUAAUUUUCUGCUUCGGUGGGGUUAUCCCACCGGAACAACCUCAAAACUCUUAUCAAAAAAUCGUUCUGUCUGAGAACCUUUUAUAAUAAAAAAAAACUUUUAACAACGGAUCUCUAGAUCGGAAGAGCA